GUUGUGCCGCCGUGCCGCUCCGCCUGCAAUUGCCCGCUGAAGUCGCCGUUGGAGCUGCUGCUGCUUCGCCGGGAGUCGAACUGUCGCCGCCUGGAACUGCUGCUGCUCGCCCGGAGUCCGCCGACUGCUGCUGUUCGUCGAGUCGGCGAGAGAUGGCAGAACAGCUGCUGCCGCCGACAGAGGCCAUCUCGCCGUUUGGAGCCGCCGCCAUCGGCUGCCGCUGCCUCGCCCAAAGCCGACUCCCGGAGUUGCCGUUCGUCGUAGCGAAGGUCUCGGCAGUUCGUCAUUGCCUCCCUCCCGUUUUAUCUCUCUUCGAUAGGUUUGUAGAUUUGAAAAAAAAGUUUUACAUAAAACUCAAGUUUGUGUAAAGAUUUGAUUAUGGAAUCAAAACUUGAUUUUUCUGUACUCUAGUUUAGUUAUAUAGAGGUUCUAUUUCUGAUUUCUUGCAAAGGUUUGAUG
RNAcentral lists this long non-coding RNA (459 nucleotides) under Salvia miltiorrhiza (redroot sage). RNAcentral describes it as "long non-coding RNA (SMIL_LNC000197)". The record is from RNAcentral. Lineage: Eukaryota; Viridiplantae; Streptophyta; Magnoliopsida; Lamiales; Lamiaceae.